UGAUGUUCAUGUCUGCAUCAUGUCAUUGUCUGCAGGAUCCGCAACUGUCGCUGGGCUUGGAGUGAUAUAUAAAUAAGUCUGCGGCUAAAAGAGCCUCCCGCCCCCCCAAUCAGGAUUUGAAACAUCUUCUGAAUAAACCAGGAAGGCGCUGCCUUUUCCAAUAAGAACCAAACCUCUCCCACAAGAACAAUCCCUGUUUGCAGGAGUGUGUAAUUUCCACCUCAGCAGGAUAGCUCUCUACCUUCUCUACCUGCUCCUAGACACCCAACUCAAGGCUGGGCUAAAGCAAAGUACAAUGCCCUGGGAAUCACUUGUUUCAGACAAAUAAAACAAGGACAGCAAUGGAACUGAUCCAAAGGAAAGGAAAGGAAAGAACUUUUGUCAGGUGAUGCUGUACCUUGCAAACAACAGUUCCCACUUCUUCUGAUAAAUGCUAAAUGGAGAAUUUAUCUUCCAUCUUCAUAUUUUAUCCUUAACAGCAAUCUCUGGUUUCCUUAGAAUUAAGCCUCCCUAACAGCUAGGGCAUAAUUAAAUCAAUGGAUUCUGUAUUCUUCUCUCGAACUGGAAGGGAAAUUUCACUGUUACCAGAAGAAACAGUGAGUAUAGAUACAUGGCACUCCACACAAAACAGGAAAACUAUCCAAGGUGCUGAACUAUGGCAUGAUGUUCUUCGGUGUGCACUACCUGCAAAGCAGACCAUUCUGACUCUUGGAACCUUCCAGGGUUCUCAGCACUCCAAGGACAGUGGCAUUGGUGUAACAAACAUGUUAUCAGUAUGUAAAGUUUAUGUUCAAAAGACACCUUUGGCCUGCUAAACACAAACUAAUUCAGUUACCCUGGGCAGGGGGCAGACUAGCAAAUGCAGGCUGCCCUUGAGACAUUCAUGAGUAGGGGCACUCUUUUUGAAAGGGAUGGGGAAAUCCCAUCUUUCCUUUUGAUCCUUCAACCUCAAGGGCACAUAAUGAAAUAAAGAUCCUUCUGGCUGGGUAGUAGUCUUCAGCUGAGCCGGUCUUAGCAAGACCAGAAUCAGUAAGAGGAAGCACUGCAGAAUAAUGGGGAAAGUGCCCUCAUGUUCUCCUUGAUAGUUUGAGUGCUACUUCCUCAAUGCCCCCAGUCCUGCCAGGGAUCACAUCCCAGUCAUGAAUAUAAUUUACAGCAUUCUCUUAAACCAUGGUGACACCCAAUCGUACCUUGAUUUCAUUCUCCAAUUGACAAUACCAGAUUGACUUUUAAUACUUUACAAACAGAAGGGGAGUAUGGGGUGCCCAGAAGUAAAGAGUGUAGCACCAUGACAAUAAGGUCUAGGACUUUCUUUACCUGGGGUCAGAUUUUCCAGAGCAGAGCAUGCAGUGGCCCCCAUUAAGAACUGAGCUGUUUCUAUGUAAUUAAAUCACUGCUGCACAUUUCUUUAAAAAUGAAGAACAAUAAAACAAAACACUAGUUACUUCUGAUGAGACAAUAUAGAAAUCAGAAAAUCCAGAGGAUAGAGCAAUAGAAUUUACAUGGAACUGGAUAAAUUAGGGGUACACAUGAUGUAGUGGUCUAGGAGCUGUUCAGGGUGGCAAAGUGUAAGCUAGUGAAAGGCUCUAAUGGAGAAAUGAUGUUAAUUGGUGGUCAGCGCAGGGGACUGGGAGUCUUGAUUCCUGGGUUCAAGUCCUAGAUUUGCUGCAGGACUAAGGCUGGUCUGAAAUUUUUCAUCUAAAUUAUAUAUAUUAUGUUUUUCCAUGAACAUUUUCAAGGUUCCCCUAGCUCUGUGUGUCAUCCUGAGCAAGACACUUUUCCUCUCCGUUCCCAUUUAUCCAACUUUAAAAUGGGUCCGAUACUUACCUACCUCACCAGGCUGUUCAGUAGGGAUUUUAAAACAUUGAGACUAUGUAUUAAAAAGACAUUAUAUAAAGGACAAAGCAGUAUUAUAAAUAAUCAGAAAGACUAUAAUUUAAGAAGAAGCAUAAAAGGUACAAAUGUGCAUUCCCUUUGACAAUGGUAUGAGGGGUGUGUGUUACAUUAACACUCACAUGCAAGAAGGACAAAAGCUGCUAGUGAUUAAUAGAUAUGGCUUCAAUUUAUAGAGAAUCUGAACAUACAGGCCGUCAAACCAACAAAAUGGGCCACGUGGUGUAUUACUGUCAUCUCAUAUGCAUUAUGUUAAUAGCUGUACUUUACAUGUGAUCUAUAACCAACUUGAACCUCAGCAGAUUGAAACACCUGGUGUAG
Gopherus evgoodei (Goodes thornscrub tortoise) is the source of this 2214-nucleotide long non-coding RNA. RefSeq lists it as uncharacterized. Lineage: Eukaryota; Metazoa; Chordata; Testudines; Testudinidae. The record is from RefSeq and is a predicted model, not a curated record. The transcript has 3 exons.